Molecule: ribosomal RNA, 534 nt
Filed under: Limosilactobacillus fermentum
Lineage: Bacteria; Bacillati; Bacillota; Bacilli; Lactobacillales; Lactobacillaceae
Description: bacterial SSU rRNA
Rfam family: Bacterial small subunit ribosomal RNA
Source: RNAcentral
UUGGAGAAGUUUGAUCCUGGCUCAGGAUGAACGCCGGCGGUGUGCCUAAUACAUGCAAGUCGAACGCGUUGGCCCAAUUGAUUGAUGGUGCUUGCACCUGAUUGAUUUUGGUCGCCAACGAGUGGCGGACGGGUGAGUAACACGUAGGUAACCUGCCCAGAAGCGGGGGACAACAUUUGGAAACAGAUGCUAAUACCGCAUAACAACGUUGUUCGCAUGAACAACGCUUAAAAGAUGGCUUCUCGCUAUCACUUCUGGAUGGACCUGCGGUGCAUUAGCUUGUUGGUGGGGUAACGGCCUACCAAGGCGAUGAUGCAUAGCCGAGUUGAGAGACUGAUCGGCCACAAUGGGACUGAGACACGGCCCAUACUCCUACGGGAGGCAGCAGUAGGGAAUCUUCCACAAUGGGCGCAAGCCUGAUGGAGCAACACCGCGUGAGUGAAGAAGGGUUUCGGCUCGUAAAGCUCUGUUGUUAAAGAAGAACACGUAUGAGAAGUAACUGUUACAUAACGUUGACGGGUAUUUAACCAAAAA